CCAAAUGGUAGUGGGUAGUCGCCGCGCGACUGCUUCUAAUAUGGUCGGGCUCGCCCAGAAAUGGGCGAGACAAGUUUAUGUCCGGAACGCCACAACGUUGGACGGUCAUCGAAGACGUGCGCACCUGCCGUCGAAUGACUCGACCACUUGUGGCUUCCACGAACGCAACCGUUCCGUAGGUGAACCUGCGGAAGGAUCAUUA
This 202-nucleotide ribosomal RNA is filed under the name Coccodinium bartschii. RNAcentral's name for it is "partial 18S ribosomal RNA". The record is from RNAcentral. Lineage: Eukaryota; Fungi; Ascomycota; Eurotiomycetes; Chaetothyriales; Coccodiniaceae.